RNAcentral lists this ribosomal RNA (253 nucleotides) under uncultured bacterium. RNAcentral describes it as "partial 16S ribosomal RNA". It matches the Rfam family "Bacterial small subunit ribosomal RNA", at positions 524 to 776 of the family's 1533-position model. The record is from RNAcentral.
UACGUAGGGUGCGAGCGUUGUCCGGAAUUACUGGGCGUAAAGAGCUCGUAGGUGGUUUGUCGCGUUGUCCGUGAAAACUCACAGCUCAACUGUGGGCGUGCGGGCGAUACGGGCAGACUGGAGUACUGCAGGGGAGACUGGAAUUCCUGGUGUAGCGGUGGAAUGCGCAGAUAUCAGGAGGAACACCGAUGGCGAAGGCAGGUCACUGGGCCGCAACUGACGCUGAGGAGCGAAAGCAUGGGGAGCGAACAGG